RNAcentral lists this ribosomal RNA (484 nucleotides) under uncultured bacterium. Its description in RNAcentral is "partial 16S ribosomal RNA". It matches the Rfam family "Bacterial small subunit ribosomal RNA", at positions 30 to 507 of the family's 1533-position model. The record is from RNAcentral.
AUUGAACGCUGGCGGCAGGCCUAACACAUGCAAGUCGAGCGGAUGAAGGGAGCUUGCUCCUGGAUUCAGCGGCGGACGGGUGAGUAAUGCCUAGGAAUCUGCCUGGUAGUGGGGGAUAACGUCCGGAAACGGGCGCUAAUACCGCAUACGUCCUGAGGGAGAAAGUGGGGGAUCUUCGGACCUCACGCUAUCAGAUGAGCCUAGGUCGGAUUAGCUAGUUGGUGGGGUAAAGGCCUACCAAGGCGACGAUCCGUAACUGGUCUGAGAGGAUGAGCAGUCACACUGGAACUGAGACACGGUCCAGACUCCUACGGGAGGCAGCAGUGGGGAAUUUUGGACAAUGGGCGAAUGCCUGAUCCAGCCAUGCCGCGUGUGUGAAGAAGGUCUUCGGAUUGUAAAGCACUUUAAGUUGGGAGGAAGGGCAGUAAGUUAAUACCUUGCUGUUUUGACGGUACCAACAGAAUAAGCACCGGCUAACUUCGUG